RNAcentral lists this long non-coding RNA (265 nucleotides) under Homo sapiens (human). RNAcentral's name for it is "HSALNT0074917". Lineage: Eukaryota; Metazoa; Chordata; Mammalia; Primates; Hominidae. The record is from RNAcentral.
AACAGGAUGUGUGGAGGAGUGGAACGCAAACUGCCAAAUAAAUCUAGCUGUAUUACAGAUGAAUCACAUGAUCACACUAAAGGACAUGAGGAAGAAAGGAGCUGACUUAAGUAACUUUGAUCCAGCUCUGAAGAAAUUAAAUACAAGGCGCAGUGGCCAGAGCUCCAGCAACCAUCUUGGACAAUGAAAAAACCUUCACAAUGAUAGCCAUGGCGAAACACAGUGGAGUAGGAAGAUAAAAGAGACUGAGAACCGGAUAACCACG